Amphiprion ocellaris (clown anemonefish) is the source of this 863-nucleotide long non-coding RNA. RefSeq lists it as uncharacterized. NCBI's taxonomy places the organism in Eukaryota, Metazoa, Chordata, Actinopteri, Pomacentridae. The record is from RefSeq and is a predicted model, not a curated record. The transcript is spliced from 3 exons.
UCUAAAAGGCCUCUCCACCUCGCCUCGGUUCCAUGGGAACCUGUGGGCAGCUAAUCCCUCCUUUGGUUGGAGAGGGCUUCUCCAAACAAAUCAUCCAGCUCUAAGACUCACUGCUCCUCAAGUGGGCUCCUGGCUCUCUUUGCCAAGCCUAGCCAAAAAAACUCUCUUUUCUCAUAUGCUACACAUAAAACAGCUACCUACCGUGAGGCAAAUCCCCUCGUCUCUGUCUCUUUUCUUUUAAGAGCAAGGGAAGGAGAAAGGAAUGGGGUGUGGAUAAGCCGAACCAGCAGGAGACUGUCAAGUUAAAGAACCAAGAUGACCUGUUUUGGAAGUGGGGCUCUCCUCAACCUGCCUGACUGACUGACGCAGUGGAAUUCAUCCCUGACUUUCCAGCAAGGAUCCCGUUUCUGGUGUGGAAGAUCUCAGCCAAAGAUGGACUCAUGGGUGAGGGAGUGUACUCUUGACACUGGUGUCCACUAAGGCUUGGUGCACACUGGACUAUGUAGGAAAAGAAGAAGGUGCCAUGAUUAAACAUGCAGCUGUCUGUCACCACCCCACUGCGGAGAUCGAAUGAACAGCUACCAAGCAGCUCGCUGUUCCAUCCAGCUCUGGCAGGAUGACCGCUUGGCAGGAUGGUGUGCAGAGGCUUUAGGUUGUAUUGGACGAUAUCGGGUGUGGUUUUCAGUGAGUUCAGCCAGCUGUUAUAGACAGAGGGGUUGGAUUGGCCUUGAAAGAGGACAUCGACUCCAUCAACGUUUCCUCCGCUCACCUCUGUCUCACGCUCAUUAAAUACGCUGCUGAAACUGUGACCUGAACCCAGCUUCUUCUUCUCUGCCUCACAGUGUUUUGUCAUGGCUUUAAUA